Long non-coding RNA from Spinacia oleracea (spinach), 445 nucleotides. RefSeq lists it as uncharacterized. The record is from RefSeq and is a predicted model, not a curated record. The transcript has 2 exons. Lineage: Eukaryota; Viridiplantae; Streptophyta; Magnoliopsida; Caryophyllales; Amaranthaceae.
GGUAUUUUGACCUGUGCAGUUUUCAGUACUGAACCUCUUGCUUGUGAUCCAUCAACGCUUCCAAAAUAUCCACCAACCAAGGAGAUGGAUGCCAAACGACGUGGUGACGAAGCACGAAGGACGGAUAUUGUUUCAGCGAUGCAUGGUGACAAAUCCGCUAACUUAAGUGUGGUUGGAAAAUGCCUAGAGAAGGUUUUAGAGGAGUCUCGUUUUGCGAAUAAGUUUGUGCUACCAUAUAAGGAAGUCCAUGAAGACUCCAGUAACACUUUUUUUGGGAUGGGUCCUUACAUGGAUUUCCCCUAUAGAAUAUUAUAACCGUAAGGUCUAGAUGUUGGUGCUCCGGUAUAUCUUUCCGGCUUCGAUACCAUAUUUUUGUUCUUUUGAUAAUUUCUGUAACUUUUAACAUUCUGGAAUUUUGUUUAAAUUGAAUGUCACUAUAUUUGCA